This 433-nucleotide ribosomal RNA is filed under the name uncultured bacterium. RNAcentral's name for it is "partial 16S ribosomal RNA". It matches the Rfam family "Bacterial small subunit ribosomal RNA", at positions 29 to 507 of the family's 1533-position model. The record is from RNAcentral.
AACGAACGCUGGCGGCAUGCCUAACACAUGCAAGUCGAACGAGACCUUCGGGUCUAGUGGCGCACGGGUGCGUAACGCGUGGGAAUCUGCCCUUGGGUUCGGAAUAACAGUUGGAAACGACUGCUAAUACCGGAUGAUGACGUAAGUCCAAAGAUUUAUCGCCCAGGGAUGAGCCCGCGUAGGAUUAGCUAGUUGGUGGGGUAAAGGCCUACCAAGGCGACGAUCCUUAGCUGGUCUGAGAGGAUGAUCAGCCACACUGGGACUGAGGCACGGCCCAGACUCCUACGGGAGGCAGCAGUGGGGAAUAUUGGACAAUGGGCGAAAGCCUGAUCCAGCAAUGCCGCGUGAGUGAUGAAGGCCUUAGGGUUGUAAAGCUCUUUUACCCGGGAUGAUAAUGACAGUACCGGGAGAAUAAGCCCCGGCUAACUCCGUG